Rattus norvegicus (Norway rat) is the source of this 167-nucleotide small nuclear RNA. Ensembl annotates it as U2 spliceosomal RNA. The record is from Ensembl. NCBI's taxonomy places the organism in Eukaryota, Metazoa, Chordata, Mammalia, Rodentia, Muridae.
AUCGCUUCUCGGCCUUUUGGCUAAGAUCAAGUGUAGAAUGGUAAUGUAUGUUUUGUGCCAUUGUAUGUUAGAAGUAUGUGAUCUGUUCUUUUCACUUUGAUUUUACAGGGGAUAACAAUUAAGAGAUUGUAUGAGUCUUAGAAGACACUUUGAACUUUUAAACACUU